This 473-nucleotide ribosomal RNA is filed under the name uncultured bacterium. Its description in RNAcentral is "SSU rRNA". It matches the Rfam family "Bacterial small subunit ribosomal RNA", at positions 26 to 518 of the family's 1533-position model. The record is from RNAcentral.
AGGACGAACGCUGGCGGCGUGCUUAACACAUGCAAGUCGAGCGGAAAGGCCCUUCGGGGUACUCGAGCGGCGAACGGGUGAGUAACACGUGAGCAAUCUGCCCUUAGCUUCGGGAUAGCCCCGGGAAACCGGGAUUAAUACCGAAUAUGACCUCGGCCGACAUCGGCUUUGGUGGAAAGUUUUUCGGCUAGGGAUGGACUCGCGGCCUAUCAGCUAGUUGGUGAGGUAACGGCCCACCAAGGCGACGACGGGUAGCCGGCCUGAGAGGGCGACCGGCCACACUGGGACUGAGACACGGCCCAGACUCCUACGGGAGGCAGCAGUGGGAAUAUUGCGCAAUGGGCGAAAGCCUGACGCAGCGACGCCGCGUGGGGGAUGAAUGCCUUCGGGUUGUAAACCCCUUUCAGCAGGGACGAAGCGAAAGUGACGGUACCUGCAGAAGAAGCGCCGGCUAACUACGCGCCAGCAGCCGC